UACGUAGGCAGCAAGCGUUGUUCGGAGUUACUGGGCGUAAAGGGUGCGUAGGCGGUCCUUUAAGUUUGGUGUGAAAUCUCCCGGCUUAACUGGGAGGGUGCGCCGGAUACUGAGGGACUAGAGUGCGGGAGGGGAGAGUAGAAUUCCUGGUGUAGCGGUGAAAUGCGUAGAUAUCAGGAGGAAUACCGGUGGUGUAAACGGCUCUCUGGACCGUAACUGACGCUGAGGCACGAAAGCGUGGGUAGCAAACAGGAUUAGAUACCCUGGUAGUCCACGCCCUAAACGAUGCAUGCUUGGUGCGGGUGAUUCAGUUCAUCUGUGCCGGAGCUAACGCGUUAAGCAUGCCGCCUGGGGAGUACAGUCGCAAGGCUGAA
RNAcentral lists this ribosomal RNA (374 nucleotides) under uncultured bacterium. RNAcentral describes it as "bacterial SSU rRNA". It matches the Rfam family "Bacterial small subunit ribosomal RNA", at positions 524 to 898 of the family's 1533-position model. The record is from RNAcentral.